This 497-nucleotide ribosomal RNA is filed under the name uncultured bacterium. RNAcentral describes it as "partial 16S ribosomal RNA". It matches the Rfam family "Bacterial small subunit ribosomal RNA", at positions 28 to 507 of the family's 1533-position model. The record is from RNAcentral.
GACGAACGCUGGCGGCGUGCCUAAUACAUGCAAGUAGAACGCUGAAGAGAGGAGCUUGCUCUUCUUGGAUGAGUUGCGAACGGGUGAGUAACGCGUAGGUAACCUGCCUGGUAGCGGGGGAUAACUAUUGGAAACGAUAGCUAAUACCGCAUAAAAUGGAUUAUCGCAUGAUAAUCCAUUGAAAGGUGCAAAUGCAUCACUACCAGAUGGACCUGCGUUGUAUUAGCUAGUUGGUGGGGUAACGGCUCACCAAGGCGACGAUACAUAGCCGACCUGAGAGGGUGAUCGGCCACACUGGGACUGAGACACGGCCCAGACGCCUACGGGAGGCAGCAGGAGGGAAUCUUCGGCAAUGGACGGAAGUCUGACCGAGCAACGCCGCGGGAGGGAAGAAGGUUUUCGGAUCGUAAAGCUCUGUUGUAAGAGAAGAACGAGUGUGAGAGUGGAAAGUUCACACUGUGACGGUAUCUUACCAGAAAGGGACGGCUAACUACGUG